RNAcentral lists this ribosomal RNA (450 nucleotides) under uncultured bacterium. Its description in RNAcentral is "partial 16S ribosomal RNA". It matches the Rfam family "Bacterial small subunit ribosomal RNA", at positions 338 to 795 of the family's 1533-position model. The record is from RNAcentral.
CCUACGGGGGGCUGCAGUAAGGAAUAUUGCGCAAUGGGCGAAAGCCUGACGCAGCGACGCCGCGUGGGGGAUGAAGGUCUUCGGAUUGUAAACCCCUUUCGGGAGGGAAGAUGGAGCGAGCAAUCGUUCGGACGGUACCUCCAGAAGCAGCCACGGCCAACUUCGUGCCAGCAGCCGCGGUAAUACGAAGGUGGCAAGCGUUGUUCGGAUUGGCGUGGCGUGCGUGGUGGGGAGGCGGUAUGGCAUGUGUUAAAGCUUCGGGCCCAACCCGGAAAGCGCAGAGGGUACUGCCAGGCUAGAGGGUGGGAGAGGAGCGCGGAAUUCCCGGUGUAGCGGUGAAAUGCGUAGAGAUCGGGAGGAAGGCCGGUGGCGAAGGCGGCGCUCUGGAACAUACCUGACGCUGAGACACGAAAGCGUGGGGAGCAAACAGGAUUAGAUACCCUAGUAGUC